ACUCCUAUAGCUUAAACCCAAAGCGUAGUGCUGAAAACGCUAAGACGAACCCUAAAAAGUUCUAGGGGUA
This 70-nucleotide transfer RNA is filed under the name Polypedates braueri (Java treefrog). RNAcentral's name for it is "tRNA-Phe". It matches the Rfam family "tRNA". From Rfam's summary of the family: Transfer RNA (tRNA) molecules are approximately 80 nucleotides in length. Their secondary structure includes four short double-helical elements and three loops (D, anti-codon, and T loops). Further hydrogen bonds mediate the characteristic L-shaped molecular structure. tRNAs have two regions of fundamental functional importance: the anti-codon, which is responsible for specific mRNA codon recognition, and the 3' end, to which the tRNAs corresponding amino acid is attached (by aminoacyl-tRNA synthetases). tRNAs cope with the degeneracy of the genetic code in two manners: having more than one tRNA (with a specific anti-codon) for a particular amino acid; and 'wobble' base-pairing, i.e. permitting non-standard base-pairing at the 3rd anti-codon position. Lineage: Eukaryota; Metazoa; Chordata; Amphibia; Anura; Rhacophoridae. The record is from RNAcentral.